RNAcentral lists this ribosomal RNA (1593 nucleotides) under Salmonella enterica subsp. enterica serovar Typhimurium. RNAcentral's name for it is "partial 23S ribosomal RNA". It matches the Rfam family "Bacterial large subunit ribosomal RNA", at positions 50 to 1600 of the family's 2925-position model. Lineage: Bacteria; Pseudomonadati; Pseudomonadota; Gammaproteobacteria; Enterobacterales; Enterobacteriaceae. The record is from RNAcentral.
UGAAGGGCGUGCUAAUCUGCGAUAAGCGCCGGUAAGGUGAUAUGAACCGUUAUAACCGGCGAUACCCGAAUGGGGAAACCCAGUGUGAUUCGUCACACUAUCAUUAACUGAAUCCAUAGGUUAAUGAGGCGAACCGGGGGAACUGAAACAUCUAAGUACCCCGAGGAAAAGAAAUCAACCGAGAUUCCCCCAGUAGCGGCGAGCGAACGGGGAGGAGCCCAGAGCCUGAAUCAGCAUGUGUGUUAGUGGAAGCGUCUGGAAAGGCGCGCGAUACAGGGUGACAGCCCCGUACACAAAAGCGCAUGUGCUGUGAGCUCGAUGAGUAGGGCGGGACACGUGGUAUCCUGUCUGAAUAUGGGGGGACCAUCCUCCAAGGCUAAAUACUCCUGACUGACCGAUAGUGAACCAGUACCGUGAGGGAAAGGCGAAAAGAACCCCGGCGAGGGGAGUGAAAAAGAACCUGAAACCGUGUACGUACAAGCAGUGGGAGCACCCUUCGGGGUGUGACUGCGUACCUUUUGUAUAAUGGGUCAGCGACUUAUAUUCUGUAGCAAGGUUAACCGUAUAGGGGAGCCGGAGGGAAACCGAGUCUUAACCGGGCGUUAAGUUGCAGGGUAUAGACCCGAAACCCGGUGAUCUAGCCAUGGGCAGGUUGAAGGUUGGGUAACACUAACUGGAGGACCGAACCGACUAAUGUUGAAAAAUUAGCGGAUGACCUGUGGCUGGGGGUGAAAGGCCAAUCAAACCGGGAGAUAGCUGGUUCUCCCCGAAAGCUAUUUAGGUAGCGCCUCGUGAAUUCAUCUCCGGGGGUAGAGCACUGUUUCGGCUAGGGGGCCAUCCCGGCUUACCAACCCGAUGCAAACUGCGAAUACCGGAGAAUGUUAUCACGGGAGACACACGGCGGGUGCUAACGUCCGUCGUGAAGAGGGAAACAACCCAGACCGCCAGCUAAGGUCCCAAAGUCAUGGUUAAGUGGGAAACGAUGUGGGAAGGCCCAGACAGCCAGGAUGUUGGCUUAGAAGCAGCCAUCAUUUAAAGAAAGCGUAAUAGCUCACUGGUCGAGUCGGCCUGCGCGGAAGAUGUAACGGGGCUAAACCAUGCACCGAAGCUGCGGCAGCGAACGUAUCACCCAAGACAACUUUACGGAGUUGACGAUUGACGGAGCGAAGCGACGUCAAAGCGUUCAUUAAAGUCGAGUUGGCUUAGGGAUACGUUCGUUGGGUAGGGGAGCGUUCUGUAAGCCUGUGAAGGUGUGUCGUGAGGCAUGCUGGAGGUAUCAGAAGUGCGAAUGCUGACAUAAGUAACGAUAAAGCGGGUGAAAAGCCCGCUCGCCGGAAGACCAAGGGUUCCUGUCCAACGUUAAUCGGGGCAGGGUGAGUCGACCCCUAAGGCGAGGCCGAAAGGCGUAGUCGAUGGGAAACGGGUUAAUAUUCCCGUACUUGGUGUUACUGCGAAGGGGGGACGGAGAAGGCUAUGUUGGCCGGGCGACGGUUGUCCCGGUUUAAGCGUGUAGGUGUGUGUUCCAGGUAAAUCCGGUUCACUUUAACACUGAGGCGUGACGACGAGGCACUACGGUGCUGAAGCAACAAAUGC